CGCCCCUCGUAUAAAUAUCUUACUCAUUAUUAAUAAAAUAAUCAACAAUCUCUUCUAUAAAUUGCUUUAAAUUUAAACCAAAUAACUUAAUUUUAAAGUUUAUUUUAUCCCAAGGGAAUUCAAUUUCCAUUAAUUAAUUAAUUCAAUCUUUGACUAAAAUAAAAGUCCUCAUUUUAAAGUUCUAGCUUUUAUCUUUUGUCUAAAAUUACUUUCUCUUUGUGUUUUCA
This 227-nucleotide long non-coding RNA is filed under the name Capsicum annuum. RNAcentral describes it as "long non-coding RNA (CANN_LNC017073)". Lineage: Eukaryota; Viridiplantae; Streptophyta; Magnoliopsida; Solanales; Solanaceae. The record is from RNAcentral.